CGGCAUAUAUUGAAAUAAAUUCCGAAAGAUUUUUAUGAAUAAGCAAGGUUGUAUCAGAGGAAAUUGCAUAGAAAAAUAAACGUCACGUUAACCGACGAUUAAAAGUUAAUGAGCGACCGAGACAAAAUAUAAGGAAAUGCUCAGGAAGGUUACGUAGAUAGAACCCUUACAGAAAAAUUUUAAUAAAAAAACUUUUAGCGUCAAGAGCCGUAA
This is a long non-coding RNA of Danaus plexippus (monarch butterfly), 213 nucleotides long. RefSeq lists it as uncharacterized. The record is from RefSeq and is a predicted model, not a curated record. Lineage: Eukaryota; Metazoa; Arthropoda; Insecta; Lepidoptera; Nymphalidae. The transcript is spliced from 2 exons.